Molecule: long non-coding RNA, 1707 nt
Organism: Betta splendens (Siamese fighting fish)
Lineage: Eukaryota; Metazoa; Chordata; Actinopteri; Anabantiformes; Osphronemidae
Source: Ensembl
ACUCACUUUGGGAGCGCUGGGCCUCAAACUGAACGACUACUGGAAGGAAGUGACGGAGAAGAUGGCCAGAGAGCGAGAGCUUCAGUCUUUGGACCGACUUAAGAACGCUGACGAGAGUCCCAUGUGGGUGCAGUGCGAGGAGUGCCUGAAGUGGCGGAGCGUCCCUGCACACCAUUACAGCGCCGUUCCUGAAAGCUGGAGCUGCAGCCAGAACCCCAAUCCACGCUACAGGAGCUGCUCUUCACCAGAGGAAGAGGAGGAGAGCGAGGAGCAGUUAGCGCCCAGCUACCAGAAAAACCACAGGAAGCAGUAAAUUCUCCAGCCUUUAGUCCCGUCGGCCUGCGUCCGUGCAUGCAUGCGUCGCUCCUCCUGCGCGUCUCUGUGUGUGAAUGCGGGUUCACGUACCGUUCUGUGGUUUGCCCCUGUCAGUUUCACAUUCUCGUUUCCGGUGGUUGUCCACGUGACUGACAGCGAGAUAAAAGCGCAAGAUGUAGCCUGCAAGUUUCAGUUUUAGAGGAUAAGGCUGAAAGGUCUUUACAGUGUUACAUUUAAACUUGGUUUCAGUUUCUAAAAGCAGCGGUGAAUCAAUUCACCACAGUGAAAAUGAAUUCCCUCGAGUCUUAUUUAUCUGCUCGUGACUCUGUGACUUUUUUUACAGAGAGCACCCCAGAAAUAGGAAGCGAGAGGCAGCGUUGGAGACGUGUGAGUCCCUGGAGUCGAGCGGGCAUCAGACCCUGUCCCGGAGUUGGUCAGAGCCCGGACGGCUCGCGCUCCGGCCCACGCGCUCACCUGACCACUCGGCAGCAGGGGAUGAGGGGCGGGCGGGGGGGGGGGGAGCCUGAGCAGAACCAGGCGGACGCACAGGUCCAGACCGAGCUCAAAGCCGAGGGCCGCCUGCAGCGGGAGGAGGAGGAGGGUCCAGCUUCACAGGGUGAAGAGGCCGAGAACGCGGAGCCGCUGGAGAGGCAGGAGGAGAGCGCGUUAAGCCACAAGAGGAAGUUGGGGUCGUUAUUCGACUGCCUGAUGAAGAAGCCGCGUCUCCGUGAAGAGCGACGCGCUGAUUCUGAGAGCGCGGCCGGAGAGACGGCGCCGGGCCUGGACCGGAACCUCCCCCGGGCCCACUGCCCGUCCUCCACCCAGACCGUGGUGGUCCCCCCGCUGAGCCGGGCGCCGGGCGCCGGGCCGCUGCCUCCAGAGGGCGGCGAGCGGCGGGCCACGGUGCAGAAGCUCGCUGCUUUGGAGAAGGAGGUCCAGAGGCUGAGGACGCUGCUGGGUCUGGACAGCGCUCAGGGGACGACGGAGGCCGCUGGCGGCUGCAGUGAGAAACCGGAGCCAUCGGAGGCCUCGGGGAGGAGAGAGGUCGGCUGCCAGGCAGAUGUAGCUGAGGGCUCUGCCUCGUCCAGCAUCACGACCCAGUCUCUGCUGGUCCAGGAUCAGAGACCUGUGUGUGCCCCCGAGGAGCAGCCUGAGCAGAACCGAGCCAGGAAGGAGAAGGCCGAGGUUCCAAGCCGGACGAGGGUCAGUGACGGCGAAGCCUGCGAGGACGGCAGGUCCGCGCAGGAGGACCUCCGCGGCAUCCGCAGCAACGUGGUGGUCCUGCUCACGGCUCUGCUGCCGCAGCUGGACCUGGCCGGCAUCAGCAUGGAGACCCCCGACGUGGACAACAUCCUGCAGCAGAUCAUAGAGGUCAACUCGCUGAAGUUAUGA